GAUGAACGCUGGUGGCGUGCCUAAUACAUGCAAGUCGAGCGAACAGACGAGGAGCUUGCUCCUCUGACGUUAGCGGCGGACGGGUGAGUAACACGUGGAUAACCUACCUAUAAGACUGGGAUAACUUCGGGAAACCGGAGCUAAUACCGGAUAAUAUAUUGAACCGCAUGGUUCAAUAGUGAAAGACGGUUUUGCUGUCACUUAUAGAUGGCUCCGCGCCGCAUUAGCUAGUUGGUAAGGUAACGGCUUACCAAGGCGACGAUGCGUAGCCGACCUGAGAGGGUGAACGGCCAGCCUGGAACUGAGAAACGGUCCAGACUCCUACGGGAGGCAGCAGUAGGGAAUCUUCCGCAAUGGGCGAAAGCCUGACGGAGCAACGCCGCGUGAAUGAUGAAGGUCUUCGGAUCGUAAAACUCUGUUAUUAGGGAAGAACAAAUGUGUAAGUAACUAUGCACGUCUUGACGGUACCUAAUCAGAAAGCCACGGCUAACUACGUG
RNAcentral lists this ribosomal RNA (497 nucleotides) under uncultured bacterium. RNAcentral describes it as "partial 16S ribosomal RNA". It matches the Rfam family "Bacterial small subunit ribosomal RNA", at positions 28 to 507 of the family's 1533-position model. The record is from RNAcentral.